GAUGAAGAACGCAGCGAAAUGCGAUAAGUAGUGUGAAUUGCAGAAUUCAGUGAAUCAUCGAAUCUUUGAACGCACAUUGCGCCCUUUGGUAUUCCUUAGGGCAUGCCUGUUCGAGCGUCAUUUAAACCCUCAAGCUCUGCUUGGUGAUGGGCGUCUUGUCGAUCUAGCGGACUCCGCAGGUGACUCGCCUCAAAUCUAUUGGCGGCUAGCAUUGUAGUUUCGAGCGCAGCAGAAACGCGAACUCGGGUCUACGUGUGAGCGCCCAGCAAGCCACCCCCCGAUUUUGACCUCGGAUCAGGUAGGGAUACCCGCUGAACUUAAGCAUAUCAAUAAGCGGAGGA
RNAcentral lists this unclassified non-coding RNA (341 nucleotides) under soil metagenome. RNAcentral describes it as "partial contains 5.8S ribosomal RNA, internal transcribed spacer 2, and large subunit ribosomal RNA". The stretch from base 1 to 120 matches the Rfam family "5.8S ribosomal RNA", at positions 35 to 154 of the family's 154-position model. The record is from RNAcentral.